Uranotaenia lowii is the source of this 475-nucleotide long non-coding RNA. RefSeq lists it as uncharacterized. The record is from RefSeq and is a predicted model, not a curated record. The transcript is spliced from 3 exons. Lineage: Eukaryota; Metazoa; Arthropoda; Insecta; Diptera; Culicidae.
GUGGACAUACUUGAUCCGAAUCGAGAAGCCCCUCGUUUGACAAAAACGUCAAAAACAAGUACGAGUUAUGAGAGUAAAAUUUGAUUCAGUGUGGAGAAAAAACGGAAAAACCAGUGACGUGAGUAGCUUGGGUUCGACCGGAAAAAAACGCGGCAGCCUCCGACGCAGGAAAUCCCGGAAGGCAGCCAGCAGACAGAAGUGUCUCAGGGCGCAGUAUUGUUCUAUCAUCUUUGCGGCUGUUUCAUACAAUUUGCCGCUUCGGUUUUGCCGGACAGAUCGCCUCUAAGCUGCUGGUUGCUCCAUCCGAAUCCGGUCACGGAUUGAAAAGGCCCGCUUCCGUAAAUCGCACGCAAGAAAGAAUACGCUCCUGGAAGAUUGGCGCGUCAAGCGAAGCCAGCACUAGCGGAAAUCGAUUCCAAAACGGGACACCGGAAAAACACCUGGGAAAAGCGAGGAUACCGAGCAUACAAUAGCC